RNAcentral lists this long non-coding RNA (255 nucleotides) under Papio anubis (olive baboon). RNAcentral's name for it is "lncRNA (ENSPANG00000039160.1)". Lineage: Eukaryota; Metazoa; Chordata; Mammalia; Primates; Cercopithecidae. The record is from RNAcentral.
CUUUAUGAUCAUCUAGCACUGAAGACCUAUUUGGUCAUCCAGCAUUGAAGACUCCUGAUCCACGUUGGGCUUUUGGAGAAGACUUCUAAGAGGCAAUGUUAGAGUUGAACCUUGAAGAACUUGAAGUUAUCCCGAGGAUACUGAAGACCAGCUCAUCAAGUUGGCAACAGGAAAGAUCAACAGUAAAAACCAGUACUAAUCUCCAUAGCAGAGGAGUGGUGACUAACAGCAUAAAUCUGUAACUUAGCAAACUCA